RNAcentral lists this ribosomal RNA (497 nucleotides) under uncultured bacterium. RNAcentral describes it as "partial 16S ribosomal RNA". It matches the Rfam family "Bacterial small subunit ribosomal RNA", at positions 28 to 507 of the family's 1533-position model. The record is from RNAcentral.
GAUGAACGCUGGCGGCGUGCCUAAUACAUGCAAGUCGAGCGAAAAGACGAGGAGCUUGCUCCUCUGUCGUUAGCGGCGGACGGGAGAGUAACACGUGGAUAACCUACCUAUCAGACUGAGAUAACUACGGGAAACCGGAGCAAAUCCCGGAUAAUAUAUUGAACCGCAUGGUGCAAUAGUGAAAGACGGCUUUGCUGUCACUUAUAGCUGGAUCCGCGCCGCAUUAGAUAGUUGUUAAGGUAACGGCUUACCAAGGCGACGAUGCGUAGCCGACCUGAGAGGGUGAUAGGCCACACGGGAACUGAGACACGGUCCAGACUCCUACGAGAGGCAGCAGUAGGGAAUCUUACGCAAUGGGCGAAAGCCUGGCGGAGCAACGCCACGUGAGAGAUGGAGGUCUUCGGAUCGGAAAACUCUGUUAUUAGGGAAGAACAAAUGUGUAAGUAACUAUGCACGUCUUGACGGUACCUAAUCAGAAAGCCACGGCUAACUACGUG